Molecule: ribosomal RNA, 215 nt
Filed under: uncultured bacterium
Lineage: Bacteria
Description: partial 16S ribosomal RNA
Rfam family: Bacterial small subunit ribosomal RNA
Source: RNAcentral
CCACGUUCGGAUUGCAGGCUGCAACCCGCCCUGCAUGAAGCUGGAAUCGCUAGUAAUCGCGGAUCAGAAUGCCGCGGUGAAUACGUUCCCGGGUCUUGUACACACCGCCCGUCACACCAUGGGAGUCGGUAACGCCCGAAGUCAGUGACCCAACCGAAAGGAGGGAGCUGCCGAAGGCGGGACUGGUAACUGGGGUGAAGUCGUAACAAGGUAAC